ACGGAGAACUAUUAUCAUUACUGUUGCAAUAAUAGCUGUUGUGUUCUGUUGCUUGGGCUUCUGUCGGUACGCUAACAAUCGUAAUUCACCUUCAAGCUCAAGUCCAGAUCAGAUGAUUUAACUGCUGGAUAUAAAGAACUCCGGUGAAGAGCCCAAACCAAAAACUUAAAGAGAGCUGCAUGUUGUUACAAAAAUAUACAAGAGAAG
Molecule: long non-coding RNA, 207 nt
Organism: Trichomycterus rosablanca
Lineage: Eukaryota; Metazoa; Chordata; Actinopteri; Siluriformes; Trichomycteridae
Exons: 3
Source: RefSeq, a predicted model, not a curated record